AGAAAUUUGAAUUGAGAUCAGUUUUGGAAAAGGGAAAGGGGGAUGUGAAAAAAAAAUGGGGGGGGGGUUAAAUUUUUCUCAUUUCAGAUUUCAUAAAUAAAAAGAAAAAUUUCUUCAAACAUUUUUUUGAGAGGAUUAAUAUUCAACAGCAAAGUGAAUUGCUCAAAGGCAAAAAAAAUAUUUUAAGUUCAGUAGACCACAUUCAUUCUGUGUCAGAAACCUAUGCUGUGUCAACUAUUUAAUCACAAUCCAAAUUUAGAGCUGUAUCCAGCUUGAAUGUUGUGUCCAUACUUGCCCCA
RNAcentral lists this long non-coding RNA (299 nucleotides) under Mytilus galloprovincialis (Mediterranean mussel). The record is from RNAcentral. Lineage: Eukaryota; Metazoa; Mollusca; Bivalvia; Mytilida; Mytilidae.